CCAGACUCAGGGAGUUGUGACUCCAACCCCGAGUCCCUGGGAAGAAGAAUGAGACUGACUUGGGGCUCUGACAGAACCAGGGUAUUCGUUCUAAGACUCCGGUGGAUCCUGAAACCUUGAACAGGAAUCCUACAAAACUGUUUUUUCUUCUACAUACAUACCUAUGCUAAAUUUUAAUUUGUAAAUUUAGUAUAUCAACAGAUAAGCAAUAACAAUAAUAAUGUGCAGCAAUAAAAG
RNAcentral lists this long non-coding RNA (237 nucleotides) under Chinchilla lanigera (long-tailed chinchilla). RNAcentral describes it as "lncRNA (ENSCLAG00000022835.1)". The record is from RNAcentral. Lineage: Eukaryota; Metazoa; Chordata; Mammalia; Rodentia; Chinchillidae.